AGCAUCUAAGCGCGAACCCCACCUCGAGAUGAGACUUUCAUUAAGGGACGUGGGAGACGACCACGUUGAUAGGCUGCAGGUGUAAAGCCAGAGAUGGCAAAGCUGAGCAGUACUAAUUACCCGAACGCUUCAAAACA
This 137-nucleotide ribosomal RNA is filed under the name Cyclobacteriaceae bacterium. RNAcentral's name for it is "partial 23S ribosomal RNA". It matches the Rfam family "Bacterial large subunit ribosomal RNA", at positions 2776 to 2925 of the family's 2925-position model. The record is from RNAcentral. Lineage: Bacteria; Pseudomonadati; Bacteroidota; Cytophagia; Cytophagales; Cyclobacteriaceae.